Molecule: ribosomal RNA, 553 nt
Filed under: uncultured bacterium
Lineage: Bacteria
Description: bacterial SSU rRNA
Rfam family: Bacterial small subunit ribosomal RNA
Source: RNAcentral
UGGGGAAUAUUGGACAAUGGGGGGAACCCUGAUCCAGCCAUGCCGCGUGUGUGAAGAAGGCCUUAUGGUUGUAAAGCACNNAAGCGAGGAGGAGGCUCUCUUGGUUAAUACCCAAGAUGAGUGGACGUUACUCGCAGAAUAAGCACCGGCUAACUCUGUGCCAGCAGCCGCGGUAAUACAGAGGGUGCGAGCGUUAAUCGGAUUUACUGGGCGUAAAGCGUGCGUAGGCGGCUUUUUAAGUCGGAUGUGAAAUCCCCGAGCUUAACUUGGGAAUUGCAUUCGAUACUGGGAAGCUAGAGUAUGGGAGAGGAUGGUAGAAUUCCAGGUGUAGCGGUGAAAUGCGUAGAGAUCUGGAGGAAUACCGAUGGCGAGCGAAGGCAGCCAUCUGGCCUAAUACUGACGCUGAGGUACGAAAGCAUGGGGAGCAAACAGGAUUAGAUACCCUGGUAGUCCAUGCCGUAAACGAUGUCUACUAGCCGUUGGGGCCUUUGAGGCUUUAGUGGCGCAGCUAACGCGAUAAGUAGACCGCCUGGGGAGUACGGUCGCAAGACUA